RNAcentral lists this ribosomal RNA (309 nucleotides) under Ferrissia californica. RNAcentral describes it as "partial 16S ribosomal RNA". Lineage: Eukaryota; Metazoa; Mollusca; Gastropoda; Ancylidae. The record is from RNAcentral.
GAAAGGAUUUAUGGGGAAACGCUGUUUCAAGUAUAUAGUAUUAAAUUUAUUUAAAAAGUGAAAAUACUUUUUUAUAGAAAAAAGACGAGAAGACCCUAAGAAUUUUUAGAAAAUUAUAAUAAUUUUUUUUCUUUUUGUUGGGGCGACAAUUAAGCAAUAAUAUUAACCUUAAUUAUUUAUUUAAUCGGUUAUUUCAGUAAAAAUUAAAUUACCUUAGGGAUAACAGCAUAAUUUUUUAAAGUUUGUGACCUCGAUGUUGGACUAGGAACUUUAUAACUAGCAGUUAAAAGAGAUUGUUCUGUUCGAACA